CCAGAUUUUUAAAGAGCAAAUAUCUCAAACGUCACCCGAAGAUGAGUUUUGAGAUAUUAAGGCAGGUGACUUUCACUCACAAACCAGCAAGUGGCGUCCCCUAGGGGAUUCGAACCCCUGUUACCGCCGUGAAAGGGCGGUGUCCUGGGCCUCUAGACGAAGGGGACACGAAAAUUGCUUAUCA
This 184-nucleotide transfer RNA is filed under the name Escherichia coli 2871950. RNAcentral's name for it is "partial 16S ribosomal RNA". Lineage: Bacteria; Pseudomonadati; Pseudomonadota; Gammaproteobacteria; Enterobacterales; Enterobacteriaceae. The record is from RNAcentral.